CGUUCCUCAUUUUCCCUUUCUUUAUCCUUUAUCUUGGAUGUUAAAUUAUAUUAUUAUUAUUAUGGACAUAUUUUCUAGGUAUUGUAGUUUAUAUAUAAAUAUUUGAUUCUUCUCAUAGCACUUCACCAAUCUUUGCAUAUACCUUUAUUUCUUCAAAGCACUUUUCCUUUACCUUUACCUGCUAUGACUCCUCAGAGGGAUUGAUGUUUAGAUUUGAUUCGCAACGAUGCUUCUCUUUUUCUUCUCCUUCUUACUGGGAAAGCCUUUUCUUUCAUUCGCUUCAAUUGAAAAGGAUGUGUUUUAAUCCCAACAUUUCUUCCAGUUUUCCUCGAUCUACGGUUUCUUCUUAAAGCAUCAUUUCUUGUUCUUUUUUGACACUAUGUUUUUCACAGGUGUAUUACUUUUUCUUUUUUUUUUCAAUUUGGUUCUUGAGGAACGAGUUCAUCCACUGAAAGGUCCUCGUUUACCGAAAUCAAACAUGAAUUUGCGCAUAAAAUCUCUAUUUUUCUCUUACCCACAUCUCGUGCUGUCAUUAAUCUGUACUCCUAAUUAAUUAGUCUCUAUGUAAUAUGUUCCCUUUUGCAGUUUGUGUUUGGAAAAUUUUCCGUUAGAUUUGGCUUUUCUCUGUGAAACUUGUGGCUUUUGUUAAGUAGUUUUGGACGAGGGUGGCAAAAUGAUAUCAUAGGUUGUCUUCAUAGUUUGUUUAAGGAGGUUUUGUUGGUAGCUAUAGAUGCAUGGAGAGUUUGCCAGUCGUUAUUUGCGGAUGUAGCAUCAUCAAGAUUCACAUGCAAACGCAGGUGGGUGGGACUGUGAUGCAAUCUGAGAGCUGUAGGCCAACCAUGCCAUAGGUCUUUUGGAAGUGAGAAUCUUGAUGAUGCUGCAUCAGCCAUAAACGACUACUUUCAAAAGUUGGAUAAGGACUAUUCUAAUAAUCUCAACAAGUGGGCCAAAAAUAUAUAUAUAAAAAAAAGGAAAAAAAAAGAGAAAUGAGAAACAUUUGUUGAGGUAUACUCACAUGACACAGCAAAACAAAACCCCCUUCAGACAUGAUCUGAUCUGCGCGUUUAAACCGAGAGGCAACCUUUCCCACUUUGCUUUUUUGUUGCUGUCAGGUGGGUUUUGCUGUUUUAACCUUUGAUUUUUCAAAUUAUGGUACUGCUAGUUUUUUAUUUCUACAUUAAUGGAUACAGGUAUGGUAUGGGCUUGCUUCCAGUGCUUUCUGAGUUCUGUCUUUUUAUCUAUUUAUUAAUUUAUUUAUAACUGUUGUUGUUAUCAUCACAAUUUGUAGCUUGCUUUACAUUAAUUAGCUCUUCUGUGUUUUGCAGACAAUCCUAGGUUUUCAAGUAUAGGCUAUUUGGAGGCCGAGAGGAGCGGCUGUUGGGUCCUUUAUAUGUGCUGACUUCACAGAUCUAUGAUGAAUAUUCCUUUCCAACAGAAAUGCUGGGAUCUAAAUGGUGUCUUUUCAGUUUCUAAAUAUAGAUGCAGAUACCACUUUAUCCAAAUCCGGAGAGAAUGUUAGAGACUCACUCAAGCACACAGAAAGUUAAAAUUAUUAUUUGGAAUUUAGGGUGUACUCAGAAGCUAGUGUUGAUGCUCAUAAGUGACGUUUCGAGCGUAUAGAGUGAAUGAAAACGUGAUAGGAUUUUGCUUUGGCUUUAGCUUUGGUAUGAACAAUGUUGAAGGCUUUGGCUUUAGAACGAACCAAUAAUCAGUUGUAGCUGCGGUUGGUGGACCAAGGACUUCACACAAGUUGGACUCUCUAAGUGAUCAUUCAGUAUAUUCAAGAUUUUAUCUUAUGGAAAUCUGUGUGCCCCCAUCACUGUCCAACUCUUGGUCAUAUUCUCGCUGCUCCAUCAUUAUGAAUAUGUUGUGUACACUGUCUUUGCCCGAAACAGCUUGCCCUAUUUCUUUGUAGAGAAGGCUGUGGAUCAUACAUGCAUCAGGCCCACUCAUCUUCUUGUUCUCUCUCUUCAUAGGUAAAGCCACACAAUUUUUUGGCCUUUUUAUUACAUUGAUAAGGGUAGUUUCUCCUAUGCAAUUAGGUCUCCUAAACUGUUGUGUGUGUUUGUGUUUUUGUAUUUAGGAUAUGCUGGUAAUUAAUGUUGAGUACAUGUUUCAAGCUAUACUACUUUGGUUCUUUUUUUCUGUGUGCACGAGGGAGAAGGACAAACUGGUUUAAUAAACCUGACUGAGUACAUAAAAUUACUUUUUCCUCGAAUUAUAAUAUGCUUGAAAAAGAGCAUGAGAGGAUGCAUGUGAUGAAUCUGAUUUUAUUAUUUAAUCUUUGGCUAUAUAUAUAUUUCUAUUGAAAGUGACAGACAGAUAAUGCACUAAGUACAUGCUUAAUUUCAGGGAGCACAUGGAUCAUUUAAAUCCUUGUUUUCAGGUGAUCAUUUAAAUUGAAACAACAGUUUCUUAUAAUUUAGGGAGAAAUGGAUCACGUACAUGGGUUUUUUUCAACUCCCUAUUGCAUGUAUAUUUCCUCCUUAUAGUACUAUUUUUCAGCAUCCAUUUCAUUGAAUCUACAAGCUUCUUUUAGUAUUUUAUGAAUUCAUCCGUGGCUAUCUAGUUUCUGAACUUGAUAACUGAUUGAUACAGUGUGAUAUUGCUGUCAUGAAACAAGAACAACAAUAAUAAUAGAAAAAGAGAUUCAAGAAAUACCCGUUAAACAAUGUCUUUUAUGAGGCAUGAUGCAUUCACUCAUUCUGGCCAAUGUAGCAAUAUUUGAAACAAUUUACUCAGUUUUCUUAGUUUUAAUUUCCAAGGAAUACAUUUGCGC
This 2779-nucleotide small RNA is filed under the name Vigna angularis var. angularis. Its description in RNAcentral is "Non-protein coding transcript". The stretch from base 754 to 893 matches the Rfam family "mir-172 microRNA precursor family". The record is from RNAcentral. Lineage: Eukaryota; Viridiplantae; Streptophyta; Magnoliopsida; Fabales; Fabaceae.